RNAcentral lists this non-coding RNA (26 nucleotides) under Homo sapiens (human). Lineage: Eukaryota; Metazoa; Chordata; Mammalia; Primates; Hominidae. The record is from RNAcentral.
AGGAGCCAAUGUGGUGGUUCUGCCAG